ACUCCUACGGGAGGCAGCAGUGGGGAAUAUUGGACAAUGGGCGAAAGCCUGAUCCAGCAAUGCCGCGUGUGUGAAGAAGGCCUUGCGGGUUGUAAAGCACUUUCAGUGGUGAGGAAGGGUAUUAGUAUAAUGACACUAGUACAUUGACGUUAACCACAGAAGAAGCACCGGCUAACUCUGUGCCAGCAGCCGCGGUAAUACAGAGGGUGCAAGCGUUAAUCGGAAUUA
This 228-nucleotide ribosomal RNA is filed under the name uncultured bacterium. RNAcentral's name for it is "partial 16S ribosomal RNA". It matches the Rfam family "Bacterial small subunit ribosomal RNA", at positions 335 to 553 of the family's 1533-position model. The record is from RNAcentral.